UAGGGAAUCUUCCACAAUGGACGCAAGUCUGAUGGAGCAACGCCGCGUGAGUGAAGAAGGCUUUCGGGUCGUAAAACUCUGUUAUUGAAGAAGAACGUGUGUGACAGUAACUGGUCAUGCAGUGACGGUAUUCAAUCAGAAAGUCACGGCUAACUACGUGCCAGCAGCCGCGGUAAUACGUAGGUGGCAAGCGUUGUCCGGAUUUAUUGGGCGUAAAGCGAGUGCAGGCGGUCUUUUAAGUCUGAUGUGAAAGCCUUCGGCUUAACCGAAGAAGGGCAUCGGAAACUGGGAGACUUGAGUGCAGAAGAGGAGAGUGGAACUCCAUGUGUAGCGGUGAAAUGCGUAGAUAUAUGGAAGAACACCAGUGGCGAAGGCGGCUCUCUGGUCUGUAACUGACGCUGAGGCUCGAAAAGCGUGGGUAGCAAACAGGAUUAGA
RNAcentral lists this ribosomal RNA (436 nucleotides) under uncultured bacterium. Its description in RNAcentral is "partial 16S ribosomal RNA". It matches the Rfam family "Bacterial small subunit ribosomal RNA", at positions 355 to 782 of the family's 1533-position model. The record is from RNAcentral.